CAACAGACCCUGAAGUCCAGUGCUUUUGGCUAACUCUGGGAUUUACCUGCAUCCUGGCUGAAUAUCUGUCAAGUGUAACAGGACUUUGGAGGAGAUUGCAGAUAAUUUCUGGACUUGCACAGUGGACCACAACAUGCUAUAUAGAUGAUUCAUGGGCUGGAGACUUUCUGCACAUGCAGGGUCCAAGGAGUCGCAGCGGAUUUAAAGGUCAUUUGAAAUGCAGCCUUUUGCUCUUUGACAGCCCUUUCAAUAUCAGCCUCCAGUUCUGUUUUACAAAGUCAUCAUUAUUAACUGCGUCUGUGGCUACUGCUAUUUUCCUGGGUUUGCAGAGAAACCUGAGAUACUAA
RNAcentral lists this long non-coding RNA (347 nucleotides) under Zonotrichia albicollis (white-throated sparrow). RNAcentral's name for it is "lncRNA (ENSZALG00000006030.1)". Lineage: Eukaryota; Metazoa; Chordata; Aves; Passeriformes; Passerellidae. The record is from RNAcentral.